RNAcentral lists this non-coding RNA (26 nucleotides) under Mus musculus (house mouse). The record is from RNAcentral. Lineage: Eukaryota; Metazoa; Chordata; Mammalia; Rodentia; Muridae.
UGUAUACACAAGGAAAGCUGCCCACU